Molecule: long non-coding RNA, 3516 nt
Organism: Marmota monax (woodchuck)
Lineage: Eukaryota; Metazoa; Chordata; Mammalia; Rodentia; Sciuridae
Exons: 3
Source: RefSeq, a predicted model, not a curated record
GCUGGGUGAGGGUUAGGGGUAAAGCCUGUGCCCAGAACACACGCACGAGGCCCUGGGUUCUGCCCAGCACCUCACUCACAUACACACACACACACAGGAAAGAAAAGACAAAGCACAACAGGAGAAAAAUCCCAACUGGACUUUGGAAGAAAAAGAAAAAAAAAAAAAAAACAGCAACUAGGGAUUGUCAGCGCAGCAUCCGCUGCAGGAGGAGCCACAACUCCCCUACCAUCACCAGCAAAUCAUAUUUAAAAAGAUAUUCUUUAAAAAGGAGGGGAGGAUAGAUUAUUCUCACACUUGUUGAUUUCAUGGAAAAGGCUGAAUAAACACAAAAAGGUAUUUGUAAAAGUUCAGCGUGAUUUUCCCAGGUCAUUAUAGUGAAAUCAUUUAGUAAAAUAAAUAAAUAAGUCCGAUAAGGAAAAAGCGCUUCCACCAUUAUGAAAUGGAGUGCGUUUGUUCCACCCCCAAAUUAACACCCUCUCAGGAUAGAGGACCGUUCUCCAGGUUGAUGCAGCUGAAGUAGGUUAGAUUGAUGAGAAAAUGACCACCUUAGCUUACUUACUUACUUACUUAUUUAUUUUAUCAGACUUGGCUUCAGACCAGGAAAACAAAUUAUCCUGAAGCCGUUUCACCCAAUGUGGGCUGGGGGAGCGGCACCCGCAAAGGGGCUUUCAGCUCCACCAUGACGUUCUGUUUCCCAAGCUGGGCAGAAGAACACGGGGGUGACUUCCUACCCCACUCUGUUUAUCUUGGGUUGUUAAUAAUUAAGGCUAAAGCAUUUGCAGGCUGACCGGCUGUGAGGAACCACGACUGGUUAAGUGCAUCCAUUUCACAACCCAGUCAAGGGCUGCGUCUGAGCAGAGCUCAGGGAGCCAGCCCAGGUCUCGCUUGCAAACAGAAUUCAGACCUCUGAGCUCUGCAGACGGUUCCUUCCCUGAGCACUUGUCUGCACUUGACCUUCUGUUCCAAUUAAGGCACGAAACUAAAAAAUCCAGUGGUCUCCAGGUCUUCAGAAAACAUCCCUCCAACAUACAAUGUGACAACAACUGUUUGCCGUAUUUCAAGUGAUAAGAAUCCUAAAGGAUAUGGAAGAGAAAACAGGCUUAUGCUGUCAGACACACCACUCAUGUCUCUGAGGCUCGGUGUCGGAGAAGCUUUGGGAAUGAAGGCAGGUCUCUCCUCUUUUUAUUCACCAUCUCUGACCACCAGAAGUGUUCAAAAGCAAAACACAGACGCAGAGAAGACAGGAACGGCUGGCCACGGCCACACGUACGUACCUGACGGCAAACUGCAAGGCGGCUGGGCCCGGCUUCUUGGGCAGAUCAUGGUCCAGAACUCGGUGGUCCAAUUGCAGCCAGUUCUGCUGACCCCUGUGAGGGCAGAGUGAGGAGAAGGGUCACUGGAAGUUUCGGCAACAUGGGGCGCUGGGAAGCUGACCGGGAGCUGUGGGCACUGAAGGCAGAGGGCAGCCCUGGCCCCCUGUGAAGGGCCGGUGCUUGAAAACCACGGACCCCUCUGCUCCGGCCCAGGGAGCUGAUGAAGGUUAGCUUGUGCAUUUGAAAAAUGGACCAUGUGUGAAGUCGCUCCCUGUAGCAUUAUUUCUCAUAGCAAAAAGACCAGAAAUAGGUCAAAUAUUAUAGAGGGCAUGGCUACAGUGGGUAUCUAGAACCGUAGUGAAAUACAACGCAGCACAAAGGAGCGGGGUGGGGUGCGGAGCCCGGUUACACACGCACUGAGAAGAAACUGCAAGAUACGAUACUAAACAACAAAGCAAGAUGCAGGACCCUAAGUACAGUAUAUCGCUAUUUUUAAAAAUCAAUAAGAAGAAUUAACAUAUAUGUGUGCACGCAUUUAUGAAAAAUCUGCAAGAGAAUAAUAAACUGAUCACACUGAUUUUGGGGGAGUUAAACUGCCGGGCAGCAUAUUAAUUUCUAGAUUCCUAUUGAAUAUGAAAUUCGAAGUGUUUUAGUUAAGAAGGGCAGACUUCUGGUUUAAUGAAAUCAAACUCACAGCUAACAAUACCAUAGCUUUUGAAAAUCUACAGGGCUGACUCUCCUCGGGGGCCGCUUCUGUGUACACACAGGGACUCAGUCAUAUUUAAACUGUGCUUAUUUAAUCAAGAGCCUCAGCAGGUUCAUGGGUAUAACAGUUCUCUCUACUGUGACCUCGCGGGGAGCCCAGGGCUGAGGAUUGUUUAUAGGCUGCCAAGGUUGCCUGUCUAGUCCUUGCAUUUGGGGACCUUUCCAGUUGUUCCCAUAAAACCCAAUUUAAGAACACACUGAUGGUGCAGAGGGGUGUCGAACUGCAACAAAAUCUAUAAUGGGCCUUCUCGGGGGGCAUUGCAACUAACUAAAAUACAAACCAGAAACUUCUAAGCUGGGUUCAUUUUAAGUAGGUAGGAAAAUUACACUCAACAGCAGAAUGUACUUUGACGCAUCCCACACAGAUGGAGUAGAACUUCUCAUUCUUCUGGUUGUACGUGAUGGAGAAUCAAGCCUGUCGUGUAGUCAUGUGCACAUAGGGUAGUAAGGUCCCAUUCAUUCCACCAUCCUUCUUCCCCUCCCCUCCCCUCCCCUCCCCUCCCUCCAGUCCUCCCUGUCUAAUGCAAAGCACCUCUGUUUUUCCCUACCCCACCCCGAUUGUGAAUCAGCAUCUGUGUGCGUAUCAGACAGAACACUCGGACUUUGGUUCUGUGAGACGGGCUCCUUUUGCUUAGCAUGACAUUCUCCAGCUCCAUCCAUUUAACUGCAAAUGCCAUCAUUUCAAAAGUGUGACUGUUUCCAUGAUCAACCCCCAAGGCUGCCGACAACUGUCCGAGCUUCCCUUGGAAGAACAUUGCGUGGGUAAAUAAGGAUGUCGUGAUUGGAAGACCCGCUCGAAUUUCAUAGCUGAUCACGUGUCCUCCUAAAACACACAGAACACCAUGUGGGGUCACAUCUGAACGCUUUUCUCAGGGCAGAUGCAGCAGGCUCUGGGUUGUCCUGGGUCCCCUCCCUGUGUGCAGCAGCUCACACGCUGCGCUGUUCUCACAAACCUGCAUGAGUUACGUGCCAGGGGGAGGGACGUGGGUGGAUAGUGCUGCCAACACACGGCCAGCCGGCCAGCCACGGAGGCACAGGUGGAAGGCCACGCGACGUCCAGAGGAAGCCGCAGCCCUGGAGACAGAGCCCACGGCUGGUGCUGUCGCCCUGCGGGAGGGCUGCGGUGGGGGGUCCGCAGGGCCUGGCCAGCACCAGGACAUCGAGCAUUUUUCCAUGAAGAGUCACGUGUACGUAAUGUAAAAUAAAAAAUUAAAAGUACACGUCAGAAAUCAGGUUUUUAAGGUGAACUUGUAAUCCUAACAACUGGAAAACAUCUUGAAGAUUGAACAGAUGAAGAGCACCCCCAGUUUCAUCCCCCCGGGGUUAUCAGUAGGGUCACGUGCAGCUUCUAACCUGCCUUUUCAAGAGUUUCCAUCAGCAAAUAGAAGAGAUGGAAUCAACUUAAAAAGACAGGUGCGUGCAGUCCUCGUAGGUG